UGGGGAAUUUUGGACAAUGGGCGAAAGCCUGAUCCAGCAAUGCCGCGUGUGUGAAGAAGGCCUUCGGGUUGUAAAGCACUUUUGUCCGGAAAGAAAUCCUUGGCUCUAAUACAGUCGGGGGAUGACGGUACCGGAAGAAUAAGCACCGGCUAACUACGUGCCAGCAGCCGCGGUAAUACGUAGGGUGCAAGCGUUAAUCGGAAUUACUGGGCGUAAAGCGUGCGCAGGCGGUUUGCUAAGACCGAUGUGAAAUCCCCGGGCUCAACCUGGGAACUGCAUUGGUGACUGGCAGGCUAGAGUAUGGCAGGAGGGGGGUAGAAUUCCACGUGUAGCAGUGAAAUGCGUAGAGAUGUGGAGGAAUACCGAUGGCGAAGGCAGCCCCCUGGGCCAAUACUGACGCUCAUGCACGAAAGCGUGGGGAGCAAACAGGAUUAGAUACCCUGGUAGUCCACGCCCUAAACGAUGUCAACUAGUUGUUGGGGAUUCAUUUCCUUAGUAACGUAGCUAACGCGUGAAGUUGACCGCCUGGGGAGUACGGUCGCAAGAUUAAAACUUAAAUGAAUUGACGGGGUCAUAGCUGUUUCCU
This 586-nucleotide ribosomal RNA is filed under the name uncultured bacterium. Its description in RNAcentral is "partial 16S ribosomal RNA". It matches the Rfam family "Bacterial small subunit ribosomal RNA", at positions 355 to 1375 of the family's 1533-position model. The record is from RNAcentral.